UGGAACAGUCUUCCUGACGGACGUUGCACAGACCUUCAUUCCUCAACUUGGUGAUCUCUGGAAUCUGGUCUUUACAAAAUUAGCAUAUGUUGAUUGGUUGGAAGGGGUUUAAAAGGACCAAGCCCCGCCCACCAGGCAGGCGAGGGAGUUUGGAUGAGCACCUGCAUGUUCACGUCACUCUGAACCUCUUUCCCGCUCCUCUGGCUGCAGUCAUGUGAACCGAACCCAGGGAAGCAGACGCAGCCGGACUCGGAGCACUGGCCAUUCCCAUUGCACAGGUCCGGACACCUCAGGACGGACGCGGCGUCCCGGUGCUCCUUCCACCUCCUCUGCUCUUCC
Molecule: long non-coding RNA, 339 nt
Organism: Gambusia affinis (western mosquitofish)
Lineage: Eukaryota; Metazoa; Chordata; Actinopteri; Cyprinodontiformes; Poeciliidae
Exons: 3
Source: RefSeq, a predicted model, not a curated record